GCGGCUGUGGCGGAAUUGGUAGACGCGCGAGCUUCAGGAGCUCGUGUCCUUCGGGGCGUGGAGGUUCGAGUCCUCUCAGCCGCA
RNAcentral lists this transfer RNA (84 nucleotides) under Actinomycetota bacterium. Its description in RNAcentral is "tRNA-Leu". It matches the Rfam family "tRNA". From Rfam's summary of the family: Transfer RNA (tRNA) molecules are approximately 80 nucleotides in length. Their secondary structure includes four short double-helical elements and three loops (D, anti-codon, and T loops). Further hydrogen bonds mediate the characteristic L-shaped molecular structure. tRNAs have two regions of fundamental functional importance: the anti-codon, which is responsible for specific mRNA codon recognition, and the 3' end, to which the tRNAs corresponding amino acid is attached (by aminoacyl-tRNA synthetases). tRNAs cope with the degeneracy of the genetic code in two manners: having more than one tRNA (with a specific anti-codon) for a particular amino acid; and 'wobble' base-pairing, i.e. permitting non-standard base-pairing at the 3rd anti-codon position. The record is from RNAcentral. Lineage: Bacteria; Bacillati; Actinomycetota.